AUUGAACGCUAGCGGGAUGCUUUACACAUGCAAGUCGAACGGCAGCGCGGACUUCGGUCUGGCGGCGAGUGGCGGACGGGUGAGUAAUGUAUCGGAACGUGCCCAGUAGCGGGGGAUAACUACGCGAAAGCGUGGCUAAUACCGCAUACGCCCUACGGGGAAAGGGGGGGAGUCAUUAGACCUCUCACUAUUGGAGACGGCCGAUAUCGGAUUAGCUAGUUGGUGGGGUAAAGGGCCUACCAAGGCG
RNAcentral lists this ribosomal RNA (247 nucleotides) under uncultured bacterium. RNAcentral describes it as "partial 16S ribosomal RNA". It matches the Rfam family "Bacterial small subunit ribosomal RNA", at positions 30 to 275 of the family's 1533-position model. The record is from RNAcentral.